RNAcentral lists this unclassified non-coding RNA (772 nucleotides) under Leishmania donovani. RNAcentral describes it as "gene:unknown". The record is from RNAcentral. Lineage: Eukaryota; Euglenozoa; Kinetoplastea; Trypanosomatida; Trypanosomatidae.
CGUACAAGCGAAGGCCGCCAACGCGGAAAAACACAUAAAAAAGCGCACCCGCCCCACAGAGAGCGAUCUUGUAACGGGCACAAGUGUGGGACGGAGACACAAGAAGGCACACCGCUGUAUACAUAUAUAUACAAGGGAGCGAGGUGGUGUUGCUCGUCCCCCUCGCACCACAGCGGCCCUUCCCACCGCCCCAUUCAAGGCACACCCAUAAACACAUAGAGGCACAGUCUCACAGACUUCACAUAGAUACGAAGGGCGGGGAAGAGACACCGUUGGCGGUUGCAAGCGCACGCGCUUGUCUGUGCUCGCGCUCGUGCAGUGGUGGUGUCUACAUGCCCUCAAGUAUUGCGCUUUACCGAUAGGCUGUCUCCUUACCUAGCGGGCACCUGCACGACACACACCCGCACCGCAGACAAACCUCUUUCGAUUCAGCGUUGUCCUCCGUAUCCUUACCGUGACACGAACUCCCAACAGCGCGUACGGACAGUAGAGGGGCCGCGCUAGCUGCUUCGUCGAGGUUGUCUCGCGCCUACAGUGUGGUCUAGAGUCCGUCGGGUCUUCUUGUUCCCGCUUUUCGCUCUCCCUGGUUGCCCUUCCCCACUCUCACUGGGCCUCCGCAUCCCCUUUCCUCGUUCGCUGAUCAGAAGGUGUGGCGACAGGCCUACUGUUGCACCGUCACCUUCGCCUCCUGUCAUCCCCUCGAACCCCAACACCGCUUUUCCCCUCACCCGCACUACUUCACGCUCUCUCCGUCGUCUUCGCUGCACCAAAG